CGGGAAGAGCUCAAAUUUGUAAUCUGGCGGUCUACGGCCGUCCGAGUUGUAAUCUGGAGAAGCGUUUUCGGCGCCGGUCCGCGUACAAGUCCCCUGGAACGGGGCGUCGCAGAGGGUGAGAAUCCCGUCUUUGACGCGGUACGCCGGUGCCAUGCGAUGCGCUCUCGAA
This 169-nucleotide ribosomal RNA is filed under the name Aseroe sp. RNAcentral describes it as "partial large subunit ribosomal RNA". It matches the Rfam family "Eukaryotic large subunit ribosomal RNA", at positions 99 to 261 of the family's 3401-position model. The record is from RNAcentral. Lineage: Eukaryota; Fungi; Basidiomycota; Agaricomycetes; Phallales; Clathraceae.